RNAcentral lists this long non-coding RNA (602 nucleotides) under Pongo abelii (Sumatran orangutan). RNAcentral's name for it is "lincRNA". Lineage: Eukaryota; Metazoa; Chordata; Mammalia; Primates; Hominidae. The record is from RNAcentral.
GGCAGACGUCACUUCCCCUGGCUAGCUCAGGCAGCGGGUUGGUCGGCUGAGUGGCAGAAAGGCAGACGGGGACUGGGAAACGCACUGUCAUAUACCAGAAGAACAUGACUCGAUGAGUUUUGCCCUAAUGUUAACAAGUUAUUUUGAACUUAAGAUCGGCCCUUUUUUCAAAGAAGAGCAGUUGGAACAACAAGAGCUGUUUAGUUGUACCCUUGGAAUCCAUGGAAAUCCUGGGUAGGGAGGCUCCAGUACCACCAACUGGAGAGACUGCGGAUGCCUAGUAGCUAGUACUGGCUGUUGUGUAGGCUUUGUCCACUUUGACAAAUUGAAGACGGGGACUCGACUCACCUUCGCCAGCCACGGGAGGACCUCCAGACGAGGACCAGACUCGCCGCCUUUCUUUCCCGUCAGAAAGGGAUCCCUUGCGGACAGGACCGAAUGGCCCCUAAGGCUUCUCUGCAGACCCAACCGAAACAGGCCUGAAGCUCCAGGAGGGCGAGAGGAUCCUCUUUGAGCGAAACCAGCCUUCUGCCUGGCUGGCCCUGGUCAACACACUGGGAAGAGGCCGAUUUGGCGGACAGAAAGGAAGAAAAUACCUAAAG